Molecule: long non-coding RNA, 469 nt
Organism: Daphnia pulex (common water flea)
Lineage: Eukaryota; Metazoa; Arthropoda; Branchiopoda; Diplostraca; Daphniidae
Exons: 3
Source: RefSeq, a predicted model, not a curated record
UGCUUUGUUUCACACUUUCACAGUUCCGAAAAGGAGAAGACGUUCCAGAUUUCAAAGAAAACGAUCAGUCGAUAACGAUAACUCUAUUACUAUUUUAGUAUUUUGGAAACGCACGGAAAAUAGCAGCAACAAUUUAAAUCACGAAAAUGUGGGUCGUCGUGUAAACUCUUGUGUCCCGGACCUCUGCUACUACUCUGCAUGCUCUCAUCGCUUUGCUGCUUCUCAGUUUUCCUGCACUGAAAUCUCCUUUGUGCAGAUUUGAGCCCUGAGCCAGCCAUCACAACAACACGAUAUGCAAUUUUUGCUUGUGCUGAUAAUCAUCAUCCCAAUUGAUUGGAAACAUUCCUUGUAAUCCUCUCUGUCCUCGUGUACACCCAUGUGAGUGUGGGUGUAUUCACGAGGGCCCCCCUUUUCCCGUCAUUCAACUUUUCUGCGUGGAUGGAGCACUUGUGCUGGAUGCCUGGCCGUA